GAUGAACGCUGGCGGCGUGCUUAACACAUGCAAGUCGAACGGAAAGGCUCCUGCUUGCAGGGGUACUCGAGUGGCGAACGUGUGAGUAACAAGUGGGUGAUCUGCCCUGCACUUCGGGAUAAGCCUGGGAAACUGGGUCUAAUACCGGAUAGGUCGUUGGUUUGGAUGCCAUUGUGGAAAGUUUUUCGGUGUGGGAUGAGCUCGCGGCCUAUCAGCUUGUUGGUGGGGUAAUGGCCUACCAAGGCGUCGACGGGUAGCCGGCCUGAGAGGGUGUACGGCCCCAUUGGGUCUGAGAUGCGGCCCAGACUCGUAUGGGAGGCAGGGGUGGAGAAGGUUGUACAACGGGAGCAAGCCUGAUGCAGCGAAGCCGCGUGGGGGAUGACGGCCAUCGGGUUGUAAAGUCCUUUCGUAAGAGACGAAGAGCAAGUGACGGUACCUGGAGAAGAAGCACCGGCUAACUACGUG
RNAcentral lists this ribosomal RNA (465 nucleotides) under uncultured bacterium. Its description in RNAcentral is "partial 16S ribosomal RNA". It matches the Rfam family "Bacterial small subunit ribosomal RNA", at positions 28 to 507 of the family's 1533-position model. The record is from RNAcentral.